RNAcentral lists this ribosomal RNA (251 nucleotides) under uncultured prokaryote. Its description in RNAcentral is "partial 16S rRNA". It matches the Rfam family "Bacterial small subunit ribosomal RNA", at positions 525 to 775 of the family's 1533-position model. The record is from RNAcentral.
ACGGAGGGUGCAAGCGUUAAUCGGAAUUACUGGGCGUAAAGCGCACGUAGGCUGUAGUGUAAGUCAGGGGUGAAAUCCCACGGCUCAACCGUGGAACUGCCUUUGAUACUGCACAACUUGAAUCCGGGAGAGGGUGGAGGAAUUCCAGGUGGAGGAGUGAAAGGAGAAGAUAUCAGGAGGAACAACAGUGGCGAAGGCGGCAAACUGGACAGGAAAUGACGCUGAGGAGCGAAAGCGAGGGGAGAAAAAAG